UUCAUUCACUCCCCGGCGGCGUGUGACGUGUGUGCUAAUGCCGAGCUAUUUAUUAGCCGUAUUUAUUUCUUUGGGGGGUGCCAAGUGUUGGCCAAAUUCAUUAGACGAGCUCCAAUAUCUCGGGGAGUGCUGAUGGAACGUCACGCGAUUUUAUUAACGCACUUAAGCGAUCCCAACUGAUCCCAGAGACGUGCGCAAUUUCGCCGAAUAUGUGAAAGUCAGCGGAUGUUUUAACCGCACAACGUUGUAAAUAAUUAAAAAUUCCAUCAAAUCGAGCUGAGACGAGGCGAAAAACAUCAAUAUCAGUGGGAAUGGCGUAAUAUUUGCUCAUUGCAAAAUCAAUUAACAAUUUCAGGCAAAUUGAUAUUAACGAGUUCUCGAAAUAACAACUCAAAUAAAAAUCCAAGCGAACUGCAGCCGCACAAUAUGGACACUCCAAACUGGAAAAACACGGGACGCAAGGCGAGGAGCUGGUACAAAUAUCGAUGGCAGAAGGCAGAGCCUGGAGGGAGCAAAGUCACGCAAGUCCAUAACCAUAGGCAAAUACGUACACAAAUUCCAGCGAGGCGACGCUGCUCGAGGCAGUAAUGGAAACAAACCCCGUUAAUAAUAGCUAAAAUGUUUUUAAUUAAGUGCAAAUGCCAGAUUAACGAUUACAAGAAAAACACGUUCCAUUAAAGCCAACGCAAGCACACACGAAUAAUAAUGACACAUGGCCAGAUUUGACACGAAAUUGACUUUGCUGCGACUCCGUCUCCGCCUUGGAUUCCGAAUCGGAAUUCGAGUUGGAAGUGUGAUUUUGCAUUCGAGCGGAGACGGGCUAAGUGAACUGCGCCGCCGUCCGGGAAUCGUGACAAGAUGAUGCUAAUCCGAUAGCAAUCGGAAUCGCUCUCCGGAUCGUGUUGUAAUUGUUGACGCCGAACGAACUUGAUUUGAUUAACGUUUCUUCUCAAUCUUCCCCCAGCCACGACCACGGGGGAAAUGGAGCCGGGACAGAGCAUCCAACUGGAAUAUCGGGUUGUAUGUAGAAUAGCACAGAUAGAUAGGUGAUGAUUAGCUGGAAUUAUACCCCCAACUUGUGUACCCAUUCAAUCAUACAGAAAUUAAGGGGAAACAUCUAGCAGUUUGCUUUAAAAACAAGAAAAUGUAAAGCGAGCAAGAUAAAAUCAAUACUUUUAGAUUUGAGAAAUCUAGAACAAUUGUUAAUAAUCUCUCCUUGACUAAUAAAAUUUAUUCAUUCAAACUAA
Drosophila serrata is the source of this 1247-nucleotide long non-coding RNA. NCBI's taxonomy places the organism in Eukaryota, Metazoa, Arthropoda, Insecta, Diptera, Drosophilidae. The record is from RefSeq and is a predicted model, not a curated record.